CCUGUUUCUCCGCCUAACGCCUGAGCUGUUGCUCCGCCUAACGCCUGACCUGUGCUCGCCUCACGCCCAGCCUGUUGAUCGGUGGACGGGUAAGCGCGCAUGGCAUCGGAAGGAGCUCGAAAAGUAUAAGGUGAUGACAGUAAGUAACGUUACUGUGAUUUGUGAUCUUUCUGGGGUGUUAACUGUAAAGCAAUGGAUAAUUGCGUGAAAAUCAAACUAAAAGAAUGCAAUCUUGAGGAGUUAAUCCCCACAUUUGAAGCACAGGAGCGAACCUUUCCUCGUUUUUAGGUCAAUUUGAAUACAAUUCAGAGGGGUGGCAUGGGGGCGCAGUGGGUAGUGCUGU
Molecule: non-coding RNA, 343 nt
Organism: Danio rerio (zebrafish)
Lineage: Eukaryota; Metazoa; Chordata; Actinopteri; Cypriniformes; Danionidae
Source: RefSeq, a predicted model, not a curated record